UCUGUAUUGGAAUUUAUUCAGAGAUCCAUAAAAGAGAAGUUUUGUUUGAGGAAUAGCUGAAAAGUUCAAUCUUUGAUUCAAAGUUCAGAUUUUUAAAUCAUUUUUGUGCAGGUAUGUCGACGGUAAGCAUUCCUUCGGGUUCAUUGCUACCAUCAAUUAGAUCCUCUGCCUUUACCAAGUCCCAAGUCUCUUUAGGUUCUGUUAAGAGUAUUUCUAAAGCGUUUGGCUUGAAGUUGUCGUCCUCCUUCAAAGUCUCUGCAAUGGCAACAUACAAGGUGAAGCUGGUUGACCGUGAUGGUAAAGAGAGUGAAAUUGAAGUCGCCGAUGAUGAAUACAUCCUCGAUAAAGCAG
RNAcentral lists this unclassified non-coding RNA (351 nucleotides) under Hevea brasiliensis (rubber tree). Lineage: Eukaryota; Viridiplantae; Streptophyta; Magnoliopsida; Malpighiales; Euphorbiaceae. The record is from RNAcentral.